GAUGAAGAACGUAGCGAAAUGCGAUAAGUAAUGUGAAUUGCAGAAUUCAGUGAAUCAUCGAAUCUUUGAACGCACAUUGCGCCCGCCAGUAUUCUGGCGGGCAUGCCUGUUCGAGCGUCAUUUCAACCCUCAAGCCCUCGGGUUUGGUGUUGGGGAUCGGCGAGCCUUUCUGGCAAGCCGGCGCCGAAAUCUAGUGGCGGUCUCGCUGCAGCCUCCAUUGCGUAGUAGUAAAACCCUCGCAACUGGAACGCGGCGCGGCCAAGCCGUUAAACCCCCAACUUCUGAAUGUUGACCUCGGAUCAGGUAGGAAUACCCGCUGAACUUAAGCAUAUCAAUAAGCGGAGGA
This 346-nucleotide unclassified non-coding RNA is filed under the name soil metagenome. RNAcentral's name for it is "partial contains 5.8S ribosomal RNA, internal transcribed spacer 2, and large subunit ribosomal RNA". The stretch from base 1 to 120 matches the Rfam family "5.8S ribosomal RNA", at positions 35 to 154 of the family's 154-position model. The record is from RNAcentral.